RNAcentral lists this ribosomal RNA (529 nucleotides) under Staphylococcus hominis. RNAcentral describes it as "bacterial SSU rRNA". It matches the Rfam family "Bacterial small subunit ribosomal RNA", at positions 124 to 635 of the family's 1533-position model. Lineage: Bacteria; Bacillati; Bacillota; Bacilli; Caryophanales; Staphylococcaceae. The record is from RNAcentral.
ACCUACCUAUAAGACUGGGAUAACUUCGGGAAACCGGAGCUAAUACCGGAUAAUAUUUCGAACCGCAUGGUUCGAUAGUGAAAAAUGGCUCUGCUAUCACUUAUAGAUGGACCUGCGCCGUAUUAGCUAGUUGGUAAGGUAACGGCUUACCAAGGCAACGAUACGUAGCCGACCUGAGAGGGUGAUCGGCCACACUGGAACUGAGACACGGUCCAGACUCCUACGGGAGGCAGCAGUAGGGAAUCUUCCGCAAUGGGCGAAAGCCUGACGGAGCAACGCCGCGUGAGUGAUGAAGGUCUUCGGAUCGUAAAACUCUGUUAUUAGGGAAGAACAAACGUGGAAGUAACUGUGCACGUCUUGACGGUACCUAAUCAGAAAGCCACGGCUAACUACGUGCCAGCAGCCGCGGUAAUACGUAGGUGGCAAGCGUUAUCCGGAAUUAUUGGGCGUAAAGCGCGCGUAGGCGGUUUUUUAAGUCUGAUGUGAAAAGCCCCACGGGCUCAACCGUGGAGGGGUCAUUGGAAAACUG